Non-coding RNA from Bemisia tabaci, 1052 nucleotides. The record is from RefSeq and is a predicted model, not a curated record. NCBI's taxonomy places the organism in Eukaryota, Metazoa, Arthropoda, Insecta, Hemiptera, Aleyrodidae.
GUGAGGAAUGGAGUGCGUUUCGUCGGAUUAUUCGGUCUGUGUGCUCUGUGAAGUAUGGAAUAAAAGUUUGUGUCAUCGAAUCAAAUUGGGUUCUCUCUGCUCUCCCAACCCGGCCAAUCGCCAACCUUAACAUGGUGCCGAAACCUCGGCGAACCCUUGAGGACUGAAUAGCCUGAGAUCGAGUUUCCAACAUCGUCAUUGACUUCUCACUGGUGGCCUAAAUCCGCAUCCCCUCGUGAUGGACAUUCCAACGGCAGCUUGAUAGUUUCCAACCUCGUCAUGGACUUCUCACUGGUGGCCUAAAUCCGCAUCCCCUCGUGAUGGACGUUCCAACGGCAGCUAAAUAGUUUCCAACCUCGUCAUGGACUUCUCACUGGUGGCCUAAAUCCGCAUCCCCUCGUGAUGGACAUUCCAACGGCAGCUAAAUAGUUUCCAACCUCGUCAUGGACUUCUCACUGGUGGCUUAAAUCCGAAUCCCGACCUCUUGAUGGACAUUCAAACGGCAGCUAAACUCCACUUCUAACCUUAACCAGAAACUGUUAUUUGUACACACUCUUGCUGAUCCAGUUUCUAGGAACGAUUCUACACUCUGGAAAGACCGCAGACUCCUUUUAUCAGCUCAAACUACUCCAGCACCUCAAUCCAAGCUGUUAAUAUGGGCUUAUCACUGAUUACCUCAACAUCACGCUAAGAGUCCUGCUUAUCUCAACCUGAUCACAUCUUCUUCACAAACAACUCUUAAUCUAGAUGAUUAUCUUCCUCUUAACGCUAAAUUAUCUUGCAAUCCGUUGUCAAUCAAUCUUACCUUAUUUUGUAGAAUCGUCCCCUAGAAACACUGAUUGUUAACUUGUAUCUUAUCAUAAUUGUUUAUUGUCAAAGACAGAAAAACACUCUCAUUCUAAAACCAUCCUUUAUUACGUUUCACUUGCUCACUAAAGCAUGCUUAACUUUAACAAAAUUUUGCGCUUCAAGAGAAAAACUUAACCUCUCAUCCAUCUUAGUCGUCGGAGGUCCUCCUCUCCCAACAAGGGGGGAUGUCAAGUAUAGCGACU